Molecule: transfer RNA, 63 nt
Filed under: Agrilus sichuanus
Lineage: Eukaryota; Metazoa; Arthropoda; Insecta; Coleoptera; Buprestidae
Description: tRNA-Cys
Source: RNAcentral
GGUUUUAUAUUCAAAUUAAUGAUUUUAAAUUGCAAAUUUAAAGGUGGAUUUUUCCUAAAACUU